UAUGUACAAAUAUUGCAUUUGGAAGAACAGUUUAUUUGAAUAUGAACACUAUUAUGACUCCACUUCAUUGAGAAAUGUUCAUAACAGAGUGUUGUGUGUUCCAAUUGACAGGAUCUCUAAAAAAGAAAUAUGGCAUCAGUAUGAUGAUGUGGCCGUUCAAGCUCCAACAAAGACUAUCUUGCGAAAUGUGUACCAUUACUGGAAAGGAAAAUUUAAGGAAACAUGUCUUGAAAAUAUGGAAACGUUUGUGUCGCACUUUCGUCCAGAAUGGGUUGCCCAUGCAGCUGACCCAGUCUCAGAAUCUUUUCAGGAGUCUUUGGAAAAAUUAGAUAAUCUUGUAUUUUGUUUGCGAAAAAUAUAUUUUACCCACGCAAAGUGCUUUGAAUCUGAUAAUGACUUCAGACAACAGUGGCAAACACUCUGCAGAUGUUUACUUCUCUCUCCUGAUCCCGAAACAAAGACAUGCCACGAGCUUACGGAUAUCCUUACUAUGUCGUCAAAGG
Long non-coding RNA from Dreissena polymorpha, 503 nucleotides. RefSeq lists it as uncharacterized. NCBI's taxonomy places the organism in Eukaryota, Metazoa, Mollusca, Bivalvia, Myida, Dreissenidae. The transcript has 3 exons. The record is from RefSeq and is a predicted model, not a curated record.